UAAUUGAAGAGUUUGAUCAUGGCUCAGAUUGAACGCUGGCGGCAGGCUUAACACAUGCAAGUCGAGCGGUAGCACAAGAGAGCUUGCUCCUCUGGGUGACGAGCGGCGGACGGGUGAGUAAUGUCUGGGAAACUGCCUGAUGGAGGGGGAUAAC
RNAcentral lists this ribosomal RNA (154 nucleotides) under Serratia marcescens. RNAcentral describes it as "partial 16S ribosomal RNA". It matches the Rfam family "Bacterial small subunit ribosomal RNA", at positions 1 to 147 of the family's 1533-position model. Lineage: Bacteria; Pseudomonadati; Pseudomonadota; Gammaproteobacteria; Enterobacterales; Yersiniaceae. The record is from RNAcentral.